This is a long non-coding RNA of Rhea pennata, 1668 nucleotides long. RefSeq lists it as uncharacterized. The transcript is spliced from 2 exons. The record is from RefSeq and is a predicted model, not a curated record. Lineage: Eukaryota; Metazoa; Chordata; Aves; Rheiformes; Rheidae.
UGUUUAAAACAGAAAGUGAAGGUGAUCCUCUCCCUACACCUAUGCAACAACCAGAUGACUGCAGAGCAAAUAUUGGAUGACUUAAAACAACAUUGCUUCAGCUAUCCCCCAGUCCAAAUGUUUAAGUGUAGGGUGUUGAUGUUUGUUGCACCAGCUACCGACAGCAGCUGCGCUGCUCAUGCCCCUCUCCCCGGAAGUCUCUGAAGGAGCUGUCACGAGAGAUGGGGCGGGAAGUUUGGACCCCAGUAUGGCGCACACUGUCCUUGUGCUGCCGGCAUUUGCUCAGGAGCUCUUCGUAUUUCUCCAGCAGGGCAUGAUACUGCUCAUCUACUUCUCUUAGGAUGGACAUGCCCCGUUUGCGCACGUUGUUAGCAUGCAGCGUGUAAUUGCCCUCAUGCCGGCUCACAGCAUCCUUGGUCACGAUGGCAUUGAGUGCUGUAUCGCUGCAGCUUUUCCGAACAGGAUGGUUUGGGGAAGGUGUCAUUGACGGCCCAUGAUUUUUCCCUCCCUCUUCCUCAGAGAGGUCGAUGUAGUCUGCUUCUGGGGCAUUAUUCAGCGGCUCAAGGAGGGCCUCAGACAAGUUGUCUUCUCUGCUGAGCAGAUACUUCUUGACUUGUUUCAUCUGUUGUAGCUCCAGGAGCUCUGCUUCCAGUUCCUUGAUGCGCAGUUUGCAGUUCUCCAUCUCACACACUCGCUGCUCGAGGUCUGAGUACUCCUGAAUAACGGAGGUGUAUUCUCGCUCAACCCUCUCCUUCCGCUGCUUCUCCUGGUUGACUUGGGACCUCAGGGAGUUCACCAUGGCUUGGAGACGCUCGUUCUCCCGCUCCAAUGGCUUCUGGUUGAACUCCAUCGAAGAGCUUUGGACCUGGAAUGCAUCCUCAUACCUGAAAGAGAGAAAAAGACUCUUGAGAGAGACUAGCCAAAUGACAGCCUAUGAAGGGCUCGGAUUGCGGCUUAUUGUCGUGUAAGUAACUCCACAGAUGCCCAGAGAAAAAAUAGCCAAGUGAAUAUUUGACAUCAUGGAGAGAGAGAUUUUUCCUUCCAUGUGUCCAGAACCACAACGGGCGGCAGAGGCCCUGCUGGACAGGGAGACCAAUCUAUGUACCAGAGAACUUACUGUUUGAUCUGACAACACUGAUGGAAGACAGAAGGGAAAUGAAACCCUAAAAGGUGAGAGACUCAUCCCGUCAACAGACAAACCACCAACACUGUUUUGAAGCAGUGAAGAAUGUUCAUGUGCUACCAGUCUGAUUGAAAGUAGGCACCUUUGGAUUUUUCCUUCUGAAGUUCAUAAGGUACUUGCUGCAUCUACCUUCUGACUCUAGAACAAGAUGGGGAAAGGAGCUGUUUUGGUUUGGGGGUAUUUGCCCACUUUCCAUUCUCCUUCAUGCCCAAUAACACUGGCAUAAUCUAGAGGGAGGAACUGUUGUGAAGGCAGAGCCCCAGUGAUCCUGCAGGAUCUCCUGGAGAAGAAAGGAAUUGGUAUGAUGGAGUGGAAAAGCACCUCAGGAAACUGCAAGCUGCUUUUUCUCCACGCCUGCUGGACUUGUGAAAGGACUUGUGUUCAGGUGCUCACCUUUGCUUGCAAAGGGAAGGUGUAAAUACAGAAAAUGUUUAUGAAAAACUGUGGAAAGCUUUCUUUUCAUAAAGGUGGAAAGAAACUUAUAA